AGUGAACGCUGGCGGUAGGCCUAACACAUGCAAGUCGAACGGCAGCACAGUAAGAGCUUGCUCUUACGGGUGGCGAGUGGCGGAGGGGAGAGGAAUACAUCGGACUCUACUUUUUCGUGGGGGAUAACGUAGGGAAACUUACGCUAAUACCGCAUACGACCUACGGGUGAAAGCAGGGGAUCUUCGGACCUUGCGCGAUUGAAUGAGCCGAUGUCGGAUUAGCUAGUUGGCGGGGUAAAGGCCCACCAAGGCGACGAUCCGUAGCUGGUCUGAGAGGAUGAUCAGCCACACUGGAACUGAGACACGGUCCAGACUCCUACGGGAGGCAGCAGUGGGGAAUAUUGGACAAUGGGCGCAAGCCUGAUCCAGCCAUACCGCGUGUGUGAAGAAGGCCUUCGGGUUGUAAAGCCCUUUUGUUGGGAAAGAAAAGCAGCAGGUUAAUACCCCGCUGUUCUGACGUUACCCAAAGAAUAAGCACCGGCUAACUUCGUG
This 492-nucleotide ribosomal RNA is filed under the name uncultured bacterium. RNAcentral describes it as "partial 16S ribosomal RNA". It matches the Rfam family "Bacterial small subunit ribosomal RNA", at positions 29 to 507 of the family's 1533-position model. The record is from RNAcentral.